Molecule: long non-coding RNA, 225 nt
Filed under: Brassica napus (rape)
Lineage: Eukaryota; Viridiplantae; Streptophyta; Magnoliopsida; Brassicales; Brassicaceae
Description: long non-coding RNA (BNAP_LNC009984)
Source: RNAcentral
CUUGUUAGAUUUUAGGGUUUAAAUAGGUUAUGAGGGAUUAGCCUCAACUAUAGAUUGCUAAAUUGUGAUAUUCAUCAUUAGGAUUGUCAUUAAUGCCUGUUUCUAGAUUAGCUACCUAGUACUUGCCCUAGGAAUUGUAGACAUAAGCGAUAGCUUGCAUCUCACCCUGAAUCCAUCCUAAAUGAGCUAAGACUUCCUAGAAUAAGCGAGAGUUGAUCUAGUAAC